RNAcentral lists this ribosomal RNA (1442 nucleotides) under uncultured Bordetella sp. RNAcentral's name for it is "partial 16S-23S ribosomal RNA intergenic spacer". It matches the Rfam family "Bacterial small subunit ribosomal RNA". The record is from RNAcentral. Lineage: Bacteria; Pseudomonadati; Pseudomonadota; Betaproteobacteria; Burkholderiales; Alcaligenaceae.
AGUCGAACGGCAGCACGGACUUCGGUCUGGUGGCGAGUGGCGAACGGGGUGAGUAAUGUAUCGGAACGUGCCUAGUAGCGGGGGAUAACUACGCGAAAGGUGUAGCCAAUACCGCAUACGCCCUUCGGGGGAAAGCGGGGGACCUUCGCCUCGCACUAUUAGAGCGGCCGAUAUCGGAUUAGCUAGUUGGUGGGGUAACGGCUCACUAAGGCGACGAUCCGUAGCUGGUUUGAGAGGACGACCAGCCACACUGGGACUGAGACACGGCCCAGACUCCCUACGGGAGGCAGCAGUGGGGAAUUUUGGACAAUGGGAAACUCUGAUCCAGCCAUCUCAUGUGUGCGAUGAAGGCCUUGAAGCAAAGCACUUUUGGCAGGAAAGAAACGGCACGGGAUAAUACCCCGUGCAACUGACGGUACCUGCAGAAUAAGCACCGGCUAACUACGUGCCAGCAGCCGCGGUAAUACGUAGGGUGCAAGCGUUAAUCGGAAUUACUGGGCGUAAAGCGUGCAGGCGGUUCGGAAAGAAAGAUGUGAAAUCCCAGAGCUUAACUUUGGAACUGCAUUUUUAACUACUGAGCUAGAGUGUGUCAGAGGGAGGUGGAAUUCGCGUGUAGCAGUGAAAUGCGUAGAUAUGCGGAGGAACACCGAUGGCGAAGGCAGCCUCCUUCGGGAUAACACUGAUGUGCCUGCGUAUCAAAAAGUGGGGAGCAAACAGGAUUAGAUACCCUGGUAGUCCACGCCCCAAACGAUGUCAACUAGCUGUUGGGGCUUCGGGCUCCUGGUAGCGCAGCUAACGCGUGAAGUUGACCGCCUGGGGAGUACGGUCGCAAGAUUAAAACUCAAAGGAAUUGACGGGACCCGCACAAGCGGUGGAUGAUGUGGAUUAAUUCGAUGCAACGCGAAAAACCUUACCUACCCUUGACAUGUCUGGAAUCCCGGGAAGAGAUUUGGGAGUGCUCGCAAGAGAACCGGAACACAGGUGCUGCAUGGCUGUCGUCAGCUCGUGUCGUGAGAUGUUGGGUUAAGUCCCGCAACGAGCGCAACCCUUGUCAUUAGUUGCUACGAAAGGGCACUCUGACGAGACUGCCGGUGACAAACCGGAGGAAGGUGGGAUGACGUCGUUUCUCCUAUGGCCUUAAGGGUAGGGCUUCACACGUUAUAAGCAAUGGCCUGGGACAGAGGGUCGCCAACCCGCGAGGGGGAGCUAAUCCCAGAAACCCGAUCAGUCCGGAUCGCAGCCCGUAAAUUUCCGACUGCGUGAAGUCGGAAUCGCUAGUAACGUGCGGAUCAGUGAUGUCGCGGUGAAUACGUUCCUGGUCUUGUACACACCGCCCGUCACACCAUGGGAGUGGGUUUUACCAGAAAGUAGUUAGCUCAACCGUAAGUGAGGGCGAUUACCACGGUGAGAUUCAUGACUGGGGUGAAGUCGUAACAAGGUAG